AGUGAACUGGUCCCCUUAGCAGCUGACCUCCUCCUCCAGCCCUGUGGCUGCCUCCUCUCCAACAGGGACCCUCCUGGUGGGUAUCCGGAACAGUGCCUUAGUGUUCCGCAAAGGGGAGAGGGAAAAAGAGAGGGCUGUCUCCCAGAAGGGACACCAUCACCAACCCAUCAGGCUGGCAUGCACUCUCAAAUCUACUGCCCCUAGCAACAGGAUGCAGUUCAUGUUCACUAAAAUGACUUAUGAGCUGCUUGCAGCGGGCUGAGUGUUGACGCUGCUCCCUGCCACUGGAAAAAAAGAUAUGCCCACAUCCAGAUCUCAGGAACUCAUGGAUGUGACCUCAUUUGGAAAAGGGGUCUUUGCAGACGUAAUUAAGUUAAGGAUCUUGAGAUGCAGUCAUCUUGGAUUAUCUGUGUGGUCCCUAAAUCCAAUGACAAGUGUCCUUACAAUACACGCAGAGAGGAGAAGCCUGACAGGAGAAGCAGAGAUAAUGACUGGAGACAGGGAUUGGAGAGAUGCAGCCACAAGCCAAGGGAUGCUAACAAGCACCAGAAGCUGGAGGAGGAAGGAAGGAUUUUCCCCCGGAGCCUGCAAAGGGAGUGCAGCCCCGCCCACACUUUGACUUUGGACUUCUGGUCUCUGGAAUGCUUCGAUAAGAAAUGGUUGUUUGAAGCUACCCAGUUUGUGGUAGUUUGUCACAGCAGCCACAGCAAACAAAUCCAGUGCCCUCCACCCUUUUCACCCUGAAACCGCAUGAGGACUGGGUGGAGUAGGCAGGCAGUCUUGGCCAUCCCCAUUUUAGAGAGGAGGGGACACUGAGGUUCAGAGAGGCAGAAGGAGCUGCUUGAGCCACAUAGCCAGUGAGCUUCACCAGUGUCAAGCCUGGAACCUGGCUCUCCUGAGUCCUCCUCCAUGCACUGUCCUUUCUGGAACAUUCUGCCAGCCACCCUGCACCAGGCACUGGUGGCCUGUGAGCUGUGAUUGUCUCUGUAACCAGGACAGGUUUGCAGGGUCCCAAAGCAGCUCCUCCCAAUACCAAGCAAAUGGCUGGUGGGCAUGAGGGCCCAUCUGAGAACAUGGGAAGGAGCAGCUGUCACCGGGGAUCAGGCCCGCCUGACUUCAUUAGCACCCAGCUCCACUGCAUAGCUCAAAGAGAUGUCCCUUUCUUUCUUUCUUUCUUUUUUUUUUUUUUUUUGAGAUGGAGUUUUGCUCUUGUUGACUAGUCUGGAGUGCAAAGGCACAAUCUUGGCUUACCGCAACCUCUGCCUCCUGGGUUCAAGCAAUUCUCUUGCCUCAGCCUCCCAAGUAGCUGGGAUUACAGGCGUGCGCCACCACAUCCCACUAAUUUAGUAUAUUUAGUAGAGACGUGGUUUCUCCAUAUUGGUCAGGCUGGUCUCGAACUCCCAACCUCUGGUGAUCUGCCCGCCUUGGACUCCCAAAGUCCUGGGAUUCAGGCAUGAGCCACUGUGCCCGGCUAGAUGUCCCUUUCAAUAAUGGGGAACCAAACCAGAGGCAGUCACAUCUGCUAGCGAAAGGUGCUAUUUUGAAUAACUUCAGGAUAGAUAUUUGUAAUGCAGACAUACCUGGCAGUCUUACAUUUUUUUCUAUUAAUACAACAAAGUAGGGUUUAACAAACAUCAACAAGCAAAUAAAAAUAAAUAAAUACAUAGGUAAAUGUAAUGGUCUUGUAAUGGUUUGCGGCUGCAUUUGCCUUCACUAAAUGUCCUAUCUGUUGUACAUAUAAAUUGGUUGGAAGGCCCCAUAGGGUAGGAGGCUCUCAUUUAUUGAGUGCUUAAUAUAUGCCUGGCCUCACGCUUUCACCGGAUGUCUCACUGAAUCUCUAUAUCAUUCCCAUUUUUUUUGCACAAAUUAAAGCACCAAGACUCGAGUGCAUUGAGUGGCUCGUACAGGACCACACUGAUAAGGAAUAGAGCCAGGAUUCAACCUGGGCUGGCCUGGUCUGAACCCAAGCUCAUCCUUUGGAUCUAAACCUUUGGUUCUCAAGCCUGGCUCCACACUGAAAGUCCCUGGGGAGGCUAACAUAAUCCUCCACCACUGCCACCCCAGGGGGUCUGAAGUAGCUGGCCAGGGAUGUGGCCCCCGCACUGGGUUUUCCAAACCUUCCCAGGCGACUCAAAUUUGCAGUCAGGGUGAAAGGGCCCUGCUUUAACCCCAUUUCACAAGUUGUUGUACUGCUUCCUCGCUCAGAAAGCCAGGGAGCUGUUAAGAGCUGACGUUUCCUUCCUGAUUUCUACUUUACUAAUCCCAGGUUUCCACCUGUGAGGUAGGGAAGGGAAAUAUACCUGCGAUCCCUUAAAAAUGUUUUUAAAAAGACGGGAUCGAUGGAGUGUGAACUGUGACCUGGACUCUGUGCUAAUUGGGCUCCCUGAAUGGUUUUUAACUUCAUUCUUACAACAAUUCCUCAUUUACAGAGGAGGAAACUGAGGCCCGGAGGGGUGGAGUCAUUUGCACUGGUUGCAGAGUUGGUGGCAGCAGGAUUCAGACUCAGGGUCUCAUCUUCCCUCUGAUAUUGGUAACCUCUCAGCCCGCUGUGUGCUCACCAACACACACAUCUGCCUGCGCAUGUUCAAUUUCUGUCUAUUGAGGUUGUGACGUGGGCCUGAGAGGUGUCAGGGAUGUGAGUGUGUGAAGGGUGAGGGCUGGGGGUCUCCACACCAGCCUCCAGGGCCCCAGGGCAGAGUGUGCUCAGCUGGACUGAGAAGGGGCAGGAGCUGGAUGGGGCCACUGUCCAUCCCUAAGACCGGGCUCCUCUCUCAGCAGGGUCGCCUCUGCCAUCCCUCUGGGCCUAUGCAGGUUUGGCUGCGUCAGGUGACCAGGUGUGUGGUGGGGGGGAGGAUGUGGAAGAACAGAGCAACUCCAAACUCCUUUGCCAUCACUAAAGGGCCCUUCCUGCCUUUAGUUUUAGACCGUUGUAUUCAAUGUGAAGGUUGUUGCUUAUAACAGGAUAACGGUCAUUUAAAAUGUUAAAAGUAAGCAUAUUACCAUUUGUUGAGAGUUUGCUACAUGUAGGAAGCAAGAAUGAGCAAGUGGUAAGAGUCAACACUGUCUUUCCAUCCUCAUAACAUGCCAGGGAGGACGGUAAAAUUAUGCCCAUUAUCCUGAUGAGGAAAACUGAGGCCCGCAACUCACAUUACUUUCUUCAGAUAAUUGCACAGCUAGGAAAUGGCAGGGCUGUGAUUUUUACCUGUGCUAUUAAACAUUUGCCAACUCUGCUGCAAAAGGGAGACUGCUUUUUCAUCUGGCCUUGACUCUUCAGCCAGCCACCUUCCUGCCUAUGCCUCCCAGCUUUGGAGAAAUUAUAGGUGUAGCCUGUGCUUUGGGUUUUGUGCAAGGGCUCGCAAAAGUAUGCUUGCUGGUCUCACACCCUGAAUCAUAGUUUAGCAUUUAAAGUUGGAAACAAUCUCUGUGGUCAUCUAAAUUUAAUCUUUUUGCUGGCAGUUAGGGAAACUAAAGCUCAGGAAGGAAAAGUUCUGGACUGGGGCUUGAACCCUGGUCUCUAGACUUUGCAUCCAGUUCUUCAUCUAUUAGAAGCCUCCUAGGUUCAUUCAUUCAUUCAAUUAUUCACUCAUUCAUUUGUUCAGUCCCUUGAGCAGCAUUUCAGUGAGUUUGCCUAUAUCAUUUCACUUGAUUCUCAAAAAAUAAAAACUCAUGAGAUCAGUUACAUUGUAGCUGAUGAGACAAAGAUGCAGAUGAGGAGACUGAGUUUCAGAGAGGUGAAGCAAGUGGUCCAAGAUCCCAGCAGGCAAGUAGCAGAGGUAGAAUUUGAAGCCAGGUCUUUGGAGAAAAGGGAGGCAGCUGGGGAGUCGGAUGAGGCAACCAGUUGGAGCUGGGUAGUCAGGGCAGCCUUGGCCUUUGGUGAGCUUCGCCUCCAUUUUGGGAGUGAGGGGUGAAGGAAGUCACAGGGCUAGAGUUGCAGGUAGGGGUUGAGCUGGGCUGGUGGGUGAAGGGAGGCCAUGGAAACAGAUAUCCCUGAUGUAGGACCAUGAGAGGGUCGCGGGAUGGCCUUCCUGAGAUGCCUCCAGGCAAGAAUCUGAGGAGACCACACUGAGCACUGCCAUCUAUGGAACCAUACCAGGGCCCCAUGGCUGGGCUCAGCACCUCCUAGGAGUGGCACCAGGUCUGCAUUCAUUGGGUAGGACUAGGGAGGGGCUCAGAGAGGAGGACAGGUGCAGUGACCUGGUGGUUCACAUCCAGUCACUCCUACCUAUUCCGAAGUGUUGAAUUCACAGCAUCGAAGGGCUUAUAGCUUAUCCAGAUUAUUGGGACCAGCAUUUCCCAAAGUGUGUGUGUAGGGGGGGCAAUAGAUGGGGGUGAUUACUUGGGGUCUGCGAGGACAGGGAGAUGGUGCAUAAGCCUGGUUCUAAAUAACAUGUUAAGCAGUGAGGAUUGCAGUCCCUCUUCAGUUCUCCUUCAAGCCUGUGAUCACGCAGGGAGAAGGGUCUCACCUGGGUGCUGGCGUUUCUUUAACACGUCCCCUAACACUUGCCAGUCUCCUUUCACCCACCCUCCAAGUGUUUAGGAAGGACCAGCCUCUAACUAAAGCCUGUAACCUUCCUCAUUCAGUUUUCAUUUUACUUCUACUGUUACCUUCUAUCAGUGGCAAAUGGUCCCAGCUCAUUAAUGACAGUAACAUUAUAAAGACCUCCUUUAGGUUAGUGAUUUAGGUUUUAAGAGGUUGCUGUUUGGGAGACAAGUAUUAAGUCAUGAAUGCUGCAGGCUUCCUAGGCUGUGGCAAUGUUGUGGAAUAGAAGGAAAGUCAGUGCAGGUGGGAGGCAUUGAGCCUGCUGGCCCUCCACUCUGCAAAUGGAGUGUAGAGACAGGGCGGGGUUUGCCCCGAAACGUGCAGGAAGCCAGUCCUCCAGGCUGCCAGCGGACACCUCCCCUACUACCUUUUUCUUCCUGAGGACCUGCAAUGCCUCCCUCUGCACCCUCUGUCAUUUACACACCUGGAAAUGUGUCCUCUUUAUCCCAGCCUCUUCAGACAUUGCUGCAAGUUCUGAUCUUGCCUCAUACUUGAGAAGCCCUCAGUCUUUCGGCAGAUGGCCUGCUGGCGUGUAAGCAGGAAGGUAAACGCCCCCAGUUUCCAUCCCUCACAGCAGGCACCUGUCUGCCCUCUCACGGGACUCCCACUUCCUGGCCAGGCUGCUAUGGAAAUUCCACUCAGUGUCCAGAACUCACCUGUAGCCUCACUUUCUCUAGUACCAUUUCCUGGGGCCCCAGGGUGAAGGCACCCCCGCUUUGCUCUCAGCCCCCUGCGACUCCCACAGCACUUCCCACAGGAUAGCGUGACUAUCUGGUUAUGGGUCCAUCACCCCAUUUUAUUGUGCACACCUUGAGGCAAGUACAGGGCCUUCCUUAAUUUGACAUUCCCAGGACCUGGGCCUGACCCGUGGAAGGUCCAUGGUGAAGACUGUUGAACAGUAAUAAUAGUUGUAACAAUUGCCAUUCACUGAAUACUCCUUGCAUUAGACACUGCGUGAUGGACUUUAUUUAUAUUAUUUUAUUGAAUCCUCAUAGCAGCCUCAAUAAUUAAGAUCAAACACUAUCCCCAUUUUUAUGAAUGAGGACACUGAGCUCAGAGAUGUUUAGUAUCUUGCUCAAGGACACUCAGUAAAAUACAGAACUGAGGCUUGAAACAAAGCAGCUCUGGAGCCAGUGUUCUCAGGAAGCUAGGGGAGGUGCAUGGGGCGGCCACACACACACACACACACACACACACACACACACACACGCGCGUGCGCGCGUGCUCAUACACCCAUACUGAGACUGGAGUGAUGAAUGCACAGGUGUCUUCCCUGCCUCUCCUCCCCCUCUGUUUGCUGUUUGCUCCCACAGCCUCUGUACCUUCCGGGCCCCUGGCUGUGGCUGCCUGUGGGUGCUGCCGCCCUCGCCCUGCAGGCUGGCCUGGCUGCCCACCGGGAGCCCAUUAGUCAAGUCAUCCUAGGCAGAAUUAUGCCUUCACCGAAAUGAUAUCCAGGCCCAGCGGCUGGGCUUGUGUGCAAAUUUGUGCUGAUUUGAUUAGUUUGUUUAGUCAUCGCUGCUGAUGAGAGCGGGCCACGGCCACCAAAUGACAUUCUGCUGCCUGCAACUCUGUAAUCGCUUUUGGAAGGGAUAUUAUGUUAAUAUCUCACACGAGAGUCUCCGAUCAUGCAGGACGAUGGGCGGCCAGGCCUGGGCCAUAUGGUGCAUCCGAGGCCCUCCUUUGUAAUCCUGGGUAAUUGAAAUCCUCUGCCUUAUUCAAACUUGGAAAGCCCACCAUAUGAUGGGUAGCAGAGGGCCCUUUGGCAAUUUACUUGCCAGUCCUUUUGGGGACUUUCUUUGGGGUAUGAUGGCAGUAUGAGCGGAGAUUUAUGCCAGAGAAACUUGACCAUUUUUAGAAACAAAAAUCUCUGGCGCUGGGCGCUGUCGCUCAUGCCUGUAAUCCCAGUACUUUGGGAGGCCGAGGCAGGCGGAUCACGAAGUCAGGAGUCGAGACCAUCCUGGCUAACACGGUGAAACCACGUCUCUACUAAAAAUACAAACAAAAUUAGCGGGGCGUAGUGGCGGG
RNAcentral lists this long non-coding RNA (6565 nucleotides) under Homo sapiens (human). Its description in RNAcentral is "non-protein coding LINC01942:11". Lineage: Eukaryota; Metazoa; Chordata; Mammalia; Primates; Hominidae. The record is from RNAcentral.